CAGGCCUAACACAUGCAAGUCGAGCGGUAGAGAGAAGCUUGCUUCUCUUGAGAGCGGCGGACGGGUGAGUAAUGCCUAGGAAUCUGCCUGGUAGUGGGGGAUAACGUUCGGAAACGGACGCUAAUACCGCAUACGUCCUACGGGAGAAAGCAGGGGACCUUCGGGCCUUGCGCUAUCAGAUGAGCCUAGGUCGGAUUAGCUAGUUGGUGAGGUAAUGGCUCACCAAGGCGACGAUCCGUAACUGGUCUGAGAGGAUGAUCAGUCACACUGGAACUGAGACACGGUCCAGACUCCUACGGGAGGCAGCAGUGGGGAAUAUUGGACAAUGGGCGAAAGCCUGAUCCAGCCAUGCCGCGUGUGUGAAGAAGGUCUUCGGAUUGUAAAGCACUUUAAGUUGGGAGGAAGGGCAGUUACCUAAUACGUGAUUGUUUUGACGUUACCGACAGAAUAAGCACCGGCUAACUCUGUGCCAGCAGCCGCGGUAAUACAGAGGGUGCAAGCGUUAAUCGGAAUUACUGGGCGUAAAGCGCGCGUAGGUGGUUAGUUAAGUUGGAUGUGAAAUCCCCGGGCUCAACCUGGGAACUGCAUUCAAAACUGACUGACUAGAGUAUGGUAGAGGGUGGUGGAAUUUCCUGUGUAGCGGUGAAAUGCGUAGAUAUAGGAAGGAACACCAGUGGCGAAGG
Molecule: ribosomal RNA, 683 nt
Filed under: Pseudomonas sp.
Lineage: Bacteria; Pseudomonadati; Pseudomonadota; Gammaproteobacteria; Pseudomonadales; Pseudomonadaceae
Description: bacterial SSU rRNA
Rfam family: Bacterial small subunit ribosomal RNA
Source: RNAcentral